RNAcentral lists this long non-coding RNA (402 nucleotides) under Mytilus galloprovincialis (Mediterranean mussel). The record is from RNAcentral. Lineage: Eukaryota; Metazoa; Mollusca; Bivalvia; Mytilida; Mytilidae.
CCCUCUAUUUCAUGAUUUUUGUGAAUUUUCUAAUUUUCUUGAAUUCUGUUUUAGACAGCCUUUUCCAUUGUUCCUUUUACAUAUAUUGAUCUAUAUUAUGUUUUUAUGUAUAUUUAAUUAUAGUAUGCUUGUCAAAGUGCUAUAUUGUUAGGUGGGAGUGAAUCUGAUCUUGGUUCAGUAUUCUACAGAAGGUCAUUUGGACCCAAAAUACUUAGUUUCACGAUUUUUGCCGAUUUCUUACUUCAGAUGGACCCAAAACCGGAAGUAGUUGUUUCUUAUGCGUAUUUCAAUAAUGAUAACGAUCAGUAGUUAUAUGGCUGUGGGUUUGCACUAUUUUUGCAAGUUCUAUGCCUCUGAACUUCCUGUGUAAGAUACAGAUGUGAAGCCCACCCCUCCAGAAAA